Molecule: ribosomal RNA, 680 nt
Filed under: Burkholderia sp. Ch1-1
Lineage: Bacteria; Pseudomonadati; Pseudomonadota; Betaproteobacteria; Burkholderiales; Burkholderiaceae
Description: partial 16S ribosomal RNA
Rfam family: Bacterial small subunit ribosomal RNA
Source: RNAcentral
CUGGCUCAGAUUGAACGCUGGCGGCAUGCCUUACACAUGCAAGUCGAACGGCAGCACGGGGGCAACCCUGGUGGCGAGUGGCGAACGGGUGAGUAAUACAUCGGAACGUGUCCUGUAGUGGGGGAUAGCCCGGCGAAAGCCGGAUUAAUACCGCAUACGCUCUGCGGAGGAAAGCGGGGGAUCUUAGGACCUCGCGCUACAGGGGCGGCCGAUGGCAGAUUAGCUAGUUGGUGGGGUAAAGGCCUACCAAGGCGACGAUCUGUAGCUGGUCUGAGAGGACGACCAGCCACACUGGGACUGAGACACGGCCCAGACUCCUACGGGAGGCAGCAGUGGGGAAUUUUGGACAAUGGGGGCAACCCUGAUCCAGCAAUGCCGCGUGUGUGAAGAAGGCCUUCGGGUUGUAAAGCACUUUUGUCCGGAAAGAAAUCCUCUGCCCUAAUAUGGCGGGGGAGUGACGGUACCGGAAGAAUAAGCACCGGCUAACUACGUGCCAGCAGCCGCGGUAAUACGUAGGGUGCAAGCGUUAAUCGGAAUUACUGGGCGUAAAGCGUGCGCAGGCGGUUCGCUAAGACAGAUGUGAAAUCCCCGGGCUUAACCUGGGAACUGCAUUUGUGACUGGCGGGCUAGAGUAUGGGCAGGAGGGGGGUAGAAUUCCACGUGUAGCAGUGAAAUGCGUA